RNAcentral lists this ribosomal RNA (337 nucleotides) under uncultured Methanosaeta sp. RNAcentral describes it as "bacterial SSU rRNA". It matches the Rfam family "Archaeal small subunit ribosomal RNA", at positions 1002 to 1338 of the family's 1478-position model. The record is from RNAcentral. Lineage: Archaea; Methanobacteriati; Methanobacteriota; Methanomicrobia; Methanotrichales; Methanotrichaceae.
CGUCAGUUCGUACUGUGAAGCAUCCUGUUAAGUCAGGCAACGAGCGAGACCCACGCCCACAGUUGCCAGCGUACUCUCUGGAGUGACGGGUACACUGUGGGGACCGCCGCUGCUAAAGCGGAGGAAGGAAUGGGCAACGGUAGGUCAGUAUGCCCCGAAUAUCCCGGGCUACACGCGAGCUACAAUGGUUGGUACAAUGGGUAUCUACCCCGAAAGGGGACGGGAAUCUCCUAAAACCAAACUUAGUUCGGAUUGAGGGCUGCAACUCGCCCUCAUGAAGCUGGAAUCCGUAGUAAUCGCGUUUCAACAGAACGCGGUGAAUACGUCCCUGCUCCUU